AAUCCCCAAAGACUUUUUGGGGAGUAUUGCUGGAGUGACAGUCCUUGGCCAGAUAUAAAUCUGGGUCGUUCCUGUUACGUAGACCCGAAUGUCGUGGGAACGAGACCGAGCUGUUCAUAUCAA
Long non-coding RNA from Rhagoletis zephyria (snowberry fruit fly), 123 nucleotides. RefSeq lists it as uncharacterized. NCBI's taxonomy places the organism in Eukaryota, Metazoa, Arthropoda, Insecta, Diptera, Tephritidae. The record is from RefSeq and is a predicted model, not a curated record.